Molecule: long non-coding RNA, 627 nt
Organism: Oryzias melastigma (Indian medaka)
Lineage: Eukaryota; Metazoa; Chordata; Actinopteri; Beloniformes; Adrianichthyidae
Exons: 2
Source: RefSeq, a predicted model, not a curated record
CAGCAUUUUCAUCUGAGUGGGUCUUUCAUUGGAUUCAACCCAUUUCAGGGCUGCUCAUGUUCUUGAUGCACGUCGGGUCUGUGUUCAGGCCGAAUUACAGGCUUUAUAUUAAUAACAGUUGUGCCCUCAUGAGUCACUUCCUGCCGCUGGGUCAGAAAAGGUUCCUCCAGCCGUCCGCUCGCUUCAUCAUCUGCAAGCACAACUUUAUUCACAGUCGAUCUUCUACCGAUCUGGAGCAUCGACCCGUUUAUCAGCUUCCUCUUCUGCCACGUCCGAGGGUCCAGAGGAGCCCGUCGCUAGGCAACACAGACAAACAUUCUCCAAAAUAAACCAUAAAUAACAGCAGCGGUUCGCCUUAGGUUAAAUUGGAGUUGCUGGUGCCACAACUCUGAACUGACGUAAAAGUUAAGCUGCAGUCAAGCAGCUAAAGAGAGGAAUCCACGAUCCUCCAGUAUAAAAAGGCUGAUGAUCAGCAGCUGAAAUGAUAGGACUUUCCUUCAGGAGUGAGCCGCUCGCCGGAGGUCAGGGUUCCCCGAUUAACCCUGAGGUAAUGCUGGCCUGCCUUGCGGGGUUGGCGCGGGUGAGAGGAGUUCAGCAGCUUAAAUUACAUCCCUUCCUCUGCGCUCA